Molecule: ribosomal RNA, 449 nt
Filed under: uncultured bacterium
Lineage: Bacteria
Description: partial 16S ribosomal RNA
Rfam family: Bacterial small subunit ribosomal RNA
Source: RNAcentral
AGCGAACGCUGGCGGCAGGCCUAACACAUGCAAGUCGAACGAGGUCUUCGGACCUAGUGGCGGACGGGUGAGUAACACGCGGGAACGUGCCCUUUGGUACGGAAUAACUCAGGGAAACUUGAGCUAAUACCGUAUGUGCCCUUCGGGGGAAAGAUUUAUCGCCAUUGGAGCGGCCCGCGUCUGAUUAGCUAGUUGGUGAGGUAACGGCUCACCAAGGCGACGAUCAGUAGCUGGUCUGAGAGGAUGACCAGCCACAUUGGGACUGAGACACGGCCCAAACUCCUACGGGAGGCAGCAGUGGGGAAUCUUGCGCAAUGGGCGAAAGCCUGACGCAGCCAUGCCGCGUGGAUGAUGAAGGUCUUAGGAUUGUAAAAUCCUUUCACCGGUGAAGAUAAUGACUGUAGCCGGAGAAGAAGCCCCGGCUAACUUCGUGCCAGCAGCCGCAGUAA